Long non-coding RNA from Panicum virgatum (switchgrass), 4752 nucleotides. RefSeq lists it as uncharacterized. NCBI's taxonomy places the organism in Eukaryota, Viridiplantae, Streptophyta, Magnoliopsida, Poales, Poaceae. The transcript is spliced from 4 exons. The record is from RefSeq and is a predicted model, not a curated record.
CCCCGUGAGGAGGUGGUGGACAGCCAGCGCUAGUGGCGGGAGGACGCGGUGUUGGCAAGGUGGCACCGACGUCGGCCCGCCGCCAGACCAGGCGCUAGCUCGCAGCCGGCCCUCGUCGUGGCGGCCCGCCAACCCGCCUCCUCUACACGCCUCCGCAUCGUCUCGCCGUCCCCGUGUGCCCACGGCCUGCCCUCGUCGCGGCCGCCUGCCAGCUCGCCUCCUCCUCCACGCAUCGUCUCGCCGUCCCCCCGUGAAGUCGUCCGGCUGCAGUGCGCUCAAGGAGGCUGAGGCUCGCCUGUCUGACGUGCCCCUCACCACGCCCUUCACCAUCACAUCCUUGCGCCUCGAGACAAUCUCCAACAUCGCCGUGCACGUCAAGCUCCGCAACGGCGCCGUCGUUUAAGGGGAGGUUGACCUCCACCUUCCACCCGGCUCCUGUGAGGAUUGAGGGCACACACCGGCCUGCGAGUGGCCAGCCACGGCCAUGGCUGACCUUGGGAAUUCCAACGCAAUGUGAGCUCGCUUCUUCCCGUGAGCAGUGAAUGAUGGUUGUGAUUCUACAAAUACGUUGUCCUCCUGCGCCUCCUGCACUCCUUAUGAUUCAAGUGCAUACACCUUGUCAGCAGCUUCCAAAGUGUUCGACAGAAUGCUUAUGAGGAGGCCAACAUGAAGAUAGUAGUUGUUUCAUCUGCACAUAAACAACAGGUCUACCUGCCUGGUUAGAAUUUUCCCUCUACUUUGACUGGUUGUUGGUUCGAUCUAUACGAUUUACAACUUUAAUACUUUAUUGCUUAUGCUCUACUACUUCCACUGGACUGAAGUUAAUAGAUGAGAACUAAUUUGUAUUGCCACAGGUACAUUCAUCUAGGACACGAAAUUCUUUUCUACUUCACCUCCUAUUGACCUCUGUGCUUUAGUUUCCUUUUCCCUUUGGGUGGACAGAAGAUUGACCCAGUGUGGAGUGGUCUGAUUUGGGAGAGGAGCAAUUCGAUGGGAACGGGGCUGGCAGUCUAGCAAGCCAGUAGCUCAGUGCUUGCAUCCUGCAGUGUAGCCACGGAAGCAUUCCUCACAACUGAACAACAACAUCCAGCACAUGUCUGAUUGAAGCUAUAUAGAACCUCAAUGGCUAAAAGAUUAAGGAUGCCUUAAGGUAAAUUAUUUUUCAUGGUUGAAGUAUUCAGAUGAUUUCUGUUCACAUAGUAAGUUGCUCCCUUUUAGAUACAAUGUGGACUUUUUCAUCAUUUAUGCUGUGCAAAGAUGAAAUAGAUAUGAAUCUGACUCAAGCCAGCUGUUGUAAUUUUCUGAAAAAUAGACUUCAUUCCGCAACAUAAUUAUUUCUAUAGAAAAGUUAACAUGGAACAAAGGAAAAGUGGUUUGUCAACCAUAUUGUCAUGGUAUAUAUUUUUGCUGUCAUUCCUGAACCUAAUUUCUACAAGGACCAAAACAAAGGGUUAGGUUUUUAAUGGUUAUGAGUUUUAUAAUUUCAUUGUUGCCUCAUUGAAGUAUUUGGGUUACGAACCUCAAUCGCUUUUACAAAAUAUUGUUGGGAUUCUCAUUGGAAAGUAUUAUGAAUUAAAUUAGAUACUGCAAGUGCUAAUAUCGGAAGAGGUAAAGUGCUAAUAUUGUAAAGUAGCAUGAAUUAAAUUAUAUACUACAAGGCUAAUAUUGGAAUUGCCUCUUCCGAUAUUAGCACUUGUAGUAUCAAAUUUAAUUCAUGCUACUUUCCACUUGAGAACAAAGUGCUACUGCCUCACAUAGUUAAUUUGCCACCACACAGGUGAUAGUGAAAGGUAGACUACAGGUAUGGAAAGAUUUAGCUUUACACUUGAUAACUUUGUGGACGACUGCAUUGCCAUUACUAAUAAUCUAACAACUGUACUACUCAUGGUACUGGCAGAAGAGUGAAAAAAGUCUGGUGCUACCUGUAGUGUCUAGAACGUAACUUGGUAAGCUUAUCUUGCUUCUCCUCUUUUUUUUUAUUAAUAGACAAUGCUACAAAUAGCAAUUGAUUGUUCGCUCAUCCAUGCUGCAUUGCUGCAUAUUACUAAUUCCACUGUUUGCCCUUACAUCUAUCAAUAAAUAGUAUGCAGUGUACACUAUCUAAAAAUAUUACCUAUAAUUCCACUGAAGUUAUAGAUAGUAGAAAGUUCCUCUGACAGUAUCUCUUAUGAUACUUCUCUUUCUUUUUUAGGUUCUUCUCCUUUUUCAUUACUUUGGUCUUCACUUUUUGUAUUUGAUUAAUGCCUUCUAUAUACCUUGGUCACCAUUUUCUUAUUACAAAAAAAUAGAGCUGUGUGAAGAUCCAGAUAUGGUUAGAGAAGCCUUACACUUUAGGAGGGAGAGAAGGCUGGGGCUAGUCCCCCCUAUCCUAGCUUUAGUAUUGUUAUGUGUAAAUGCACUUCUCUGUUUAGAUUCCUGCUGUACAAAUAAAUAAUAUCUUCCCUGCUUAGAUGUUCCAUUACAAACAUAUAAAUUUGAUAUUUACUUCUACCGGGGAAAAAAUAAGAAAAGGACUAUUUGACAUAUAGAGAAUAUAUUAACACUUCCAGGUGAAAGCUUGCUAUUUGACAUAGUAUUAUCCUUCUACUGGAUAGAUAUCUCCGUAAUAUAUUGCAUACCAUCUCCAUUUCCUUUUGGUUUCGGACAGAGAAAUACCUGGGAGGUCCCUCGCAUCUCUGGUCCUCCACAUGUCAUCCGUGUUCAGCAAUAGUGCUCAAAGUGAAUUGAAGGAUUUUAAACUGAACGUAAGCAAGGGCCUGACUUAAUUCGGCAUCUUCUAUUAUUGAUGCCAACUCAUGGCCUGUUUUGUUUGCUCAGUCGUAUUUCAACUAUGUAGGAGUUUUCUACAAAGUGUUAUCGGUAUGCAAUGCUAUAACAGUUCUUGUCUCUUCACUAUCCACUAUGAAAUUGUAUUUUCUUGCUGAAUGUCCAUGUAUACUGAACCACAUAUGUGAAAAAUUUAUUACAUUGUGAUGUGUUGCUGAAUUUGCAAAACACAAAGAUUUUUUCCCUUUGUGCAAAACACACAUUGUGAUUGUGGCAGCUGACAAGGGAGGGUCUGCAGGAUUAUAGCUUCUUGUGCUUAUGGCCUAUAGUUGUACCGCAGUCACGGGUUAUAAAACUACUGCCAUGUUUACACCAUGCCGUCCCCCACCAUUGUCUGAAGUAAUACAUCAUAUGUAGCGUAAUGGUACAUCAAGAGAUAUAUGAGUAGUACUAUAGCAAGCAGGUCUCACUAUACCUUAAUUUACUAGGUGAUGCAGAUACUGAGUGGUACUAUUACCAGAAAACUGGUCUAUGGUUGCAGGCAGAGGGUUUUAAACGGAUUGUGACAAUGUUCUAGUGCUCUAUAUUGUGCCGAGCUGCUCUACAAGACUACAAUGGUUGGAAGGCUGCUAGAAAGUUACUGGACUCAAAUAAAUCAAUUGUCUGGGCUACAGACUGCCCUCGCUCUUAUCCGCUCGGCUACAGUAGAGGGGGAGAAAAGGGCGACACCGAGGCGGAGAAGGCUUCCGGCGGCGAUUUCGCCGGCCCCCCUCCUCUCCGGCGGCCGGUCCGGCGUCGGAGGGGGGGUGGGCCGCGGAAUCGCCGUGCGGAUGUAUAUAGACUAGGAUGUAGGUUUCCUAGGUCUAGGUUUGGCUCGCCGUCGCUGCUUGGCGGCGGAGCUAGGUCUAGCUUGCCGGCGUGUGUCGGUCGAGCUUCCUCUGCCGGAAGUGGUGCCUGUUGUGGACCUCUUCGUCGGCAAAUAAGUUUCUCCGCUGGAGGCGUCGGCGGUUCCUGCAUCUCCGGUGCGGGCGCCUUUGCUCUCCGGCGUGCAGAAGUCUUUUGUCCUCUCCUCUUCUCUGGUGGUGUCGAUGGCGUUGCCGUCGGCCACGGAGACGUUGAAUUGAGGUACGUUCUGGCCCGUGUCCAUCUCUCUGGGUUGGGAUUGGACUUCUUGUGCUCCCCUGUGUGCUGCUGGGGUAGCUUCCUUUUCCGGGUCGGCAUGGUCUUUGUCGACGGCGGAUUUGUUUUCCGGGUGGGUCGCUUUGUUGUUCCAUGGUGGCCCACUGCGGAUUGUGUUCGACGCGGGUGGAUUUCUGGUUUCCUGCUGCUCCUGUUCGGUUUGUUCGAGUCUUGCUUCGGUUCGCAAAGGAGGAGGAGGAGUUGGGUGGUCAGAGGAGGAAGCUGGACGGCCGAUGGUCACGUAUCGAGGAUGUCUUGCGGUUUAACUUCGUUUGUCAGCUUCAUCGUCUGGGAGAGCGGCGAAGACGGCGGUGUUGUGUUCCGGUGCGGGGUGCGGCAGAUCGACGAGAUGCUCAGGCAGCUGGAUCCGAGGAAGGACUUCUUUGUAAUUUUCUUUUACUUAGGGGCCCUUCUGCAAAAAAGGGGGAGCACUGUACUUGUCUCUGUUGUCUUUUAAUAUGAUGUUUUCCCUUCUCGCAAAAAAAAAGUUACUGGACUCAACAGCUGGCGGGAAGUUUUUCCAGCGAAAAGCAUAUCUCCGAUCGUUCAAAUCAAAAGAUGAUAUCCUCCCACUAUUUAUCAUAAAAAAACAACAGCAUCGUCAUGUUUCAGACAAGUGAUCUAAUCACCGCAUGAUAUUCUACAACCACCAGAAGCUCCAAAAAAUUAGAGAUGCUACGUAACCUACUAUCCGCUAGAAUAUUUAUAUGUCUAAUAAUGUUGUGCUCAGCUUACUUUUGCCUUGAUCAGACAUCAAAGUAAUACCUAGCUAUAUAAUUUAUUAAUACAUAACUGAUUACAAAUAAA